RNAcentral lists this long non-coding RNA (697 nucleotides) under Sus scrofa (pig). RNAcentral's name for it is "lncRNA (ENSSSCG00055009101.1)". Lineage: Eukaryota; Metazoa; Chordata; Mammalia; Artiodactyla; Suidae. The record is from RNAcentral.
CCAGCAAACCUGACUUUUAUUAUUAUUAUUAUUAUUUANUAUGGAGGUUCCCAGGCUAGGGGUCGAAUCGGAGCUGUAGCCACCGGCCUAGGCCAGAGCCACAGCAACGCAGGAUCCGAGCCGCGUCUGCAGCCUACACCACAGCUCACGGCAACGCCGGAUCGUUAACCCACUGUGCAAGGGCAGGGACCGAACCCGCAACCUCAUGGUUCCUAGUCGGAUUCGUUAACCACUGCGCCACGACGGGAACUCCAAACCUGACUUUUAAAUUCGAACACACCCCUGAGCCCUGGACGUUCCCCUCUUGCCAUUAUGACAUGUGGGGUGAAGGUGGGAGGAGGCCUCCGUCUGGCAGAGGCCCCUUUAAAAAUGUACCCGGGUUCCUCCUCUGCCAACCAAGUUCUAAAAAUAUUACUCCAGCAAAAGCUGAAAUAUUUGCAGAGAAAACUGAAUUUCCUGCUACCCUCACCCCCUCCACUCAAAUGGGCCUGCUGCCAUCCUUCUCCCUCAACUGUGGGGGCCAGCGAAGACAGAGGAGAUGUUUUGAAAUCUGAAGAGUCAAGGAGGAUAACUGCAGCACCGAAGGCCAGCAGGUUAACAGAGUGAGGUAGCCUGCUGCCCAAAGCAGCCUGGCCCAGCAUUCCACGGUGCUUCUGUCCCCUUUCCUUGUUCAUCUAUUCAAGAAUCAGAGGUUCAG